Long non-coding RNA from Molossus molossus (Pallas's mastiff bat), 323 nucleotides. RefSeq lists it as uncharacterized. NCBI's taxonomy places the organism in Eukaryota, Metazoa, Chordata, Mammalia, Chiroptera, Molossidae. The transcript is spliced from 3 exons. The record is from RefSeq and is a predicted model, not a curated record.
UCAGGAAAUCUCAUGAACAACAAUUAAACAGACAAUCAGCUGAACUCAAACUGCAGACAUUUAGCAACUGGAACCCAUAUUACUAGAAAGCAAAGGUUUAACUAAUUCUAAGAAAACUGUCCCAAGAGCCUGUGGCCACAGCCAUGCCAUCAUCAGUUACACCCAGACAGCUGACACGGUUAUCAUGACCAGCGAGAACACCUGAAAAACAAAGGCUCAUCUCAUCUUUCCCUGCCCUAGCUGUGGAAGCAGCUACUUAGAUCUGGGCACUGGUUGUGCUCACUGCUACGAGGCUGUCAUUGCUUCCAGGCCCUUUCAUUAGA